Molecule: ribosomal RNA, 253 nt
Filed under: uncultured bacterium
Lineage: Bacteria
Description: partial 16S ribosomal RNA
Rfam family: Bacterial small subunit ribosomal RNA
Source: RNAcentral
GACGAACCGUGCGAACGUUGUUCGGAAUCCCUGGGCUUAAAGGGCGCGUAGGCGGCGGGGUAAGUCUGGUGUGAAAUCUCGGAGCUCAACUCCGAAAUUGCACUGGAUACUGCUCUGCUAGAGGGCUGGAGAGGAGAUCGGAAUUCACGGUGUAGCAGUGAAAUGCGUAGAUAUCGUGAGGAAGACCAGUGGCGAAGGCGGAUCUCUGGACAGCUCCUGACGCUGAGGCGCGAAGGCUAGGGGAGCAAACGGG